Rattus rattus (black rat) is the source of this 369-nucleotide long non-coding RNA. RefSeq lists it as uncharacterized. NCBI's taxonomy places the organism in Eukaryota, Metazoa, Chordata, Mammalia, Rodentia, Muridae. The transcript has 2 exons. The record is from RefSeq and is a predicted model, not a curated record.
AUAUUUUUUUAUUUUAUUUAUUAUAAGACAGUAUCUCACUAUGUGGCUUUAACUCUCAUGGAAUUCACUCUGUAGCUCAGCCUGGCCUUGAACUCAUAAGAUCUGCGGGACUCUGAAUCCUGAGUGCUGGGAUUAAAGGAAAGGGGAGGUACGUGCCAAGGCACAUGCCGAAGUCAGAGGACAACUGUGAGAGUUGGCCGUUCACCUAGUAGUCUCCAGGAUCGAUCUUAGGUCUUCACGCUUGGCCGCAAGCGCCUUCACACACUGAGCCAUCUAGGUGGCCACGGUGAUAGUUUUGAAAAUAAUAUUAAGUAAAGUUUCAGUGCAUUUUAAAAUUAUUUUAAAAUUAAAAAUAAACAUUUUAAAUGA